UGCCAUUCUCUGUCUUACUUCCCUUGUGG
This 29-nucleotide non-coding RNA is filed under the name Mus musculus (house mouse). The record is from RNAcentral. Lineage: Eukaryota; Metazoa; Chordata; Mammalia; Rodentia; Muridae.